GAUGAAGAACGUAGCGAAAUGCGAUAAGUAAUGUGAAUUGCAGAAUUCAGUGAAUCAUCGAAUCUUUGAACGCACAUUGCGCCCGCCAGUAUUCUGGCGGGCAUGCCUGCUCGAGCGUCAUUACAACCCUCAGGCCCCCGGGCCUGGCGUUGGGGAUCGGCGGAGCCCCCCGUGGGCACACGCCGUCCCCCAAAUGCAGUGGCGGUCCCGCCGCAGCUUCCAUCGCGUAGUAGCUAACACCUCGCGACUGGAGAGCGGCGCGGCCACGCCGUAAAACACCCAACUCUUCUGAAGUUGACCUCGAAUCAGGUAGGAAUACCCGCUGAACUUAAGCAUAUCAAUAAGCGGAGGA
RNAcentral lists this unclassified non-coding RNA (352 nucleotides) under soil metagenome. RNAcentral's name for it is "partial contains 5.8S ribosomal RNA, internal transcribed spacer 2, and large subunit ribosomal RNA". The stretch from base 1 to 120 matches the Rfam family "5.8S ribosomal RNA", at positions 35 to 154 of the family's 154-position model. The record is from RNAcentral.